RNAcentral lists this long non-coding RNA (338 nucleotides) under Marmota monax (woodchuck). The record is from RNAcentral. Lineage: Eukaryota; Metazoa; Chordata; Mammalia; Rodentia; Sciuridae.
CCUCUACCCUGGCUGCAGUGGUAUAGGAGGUACCCCCUAUACCCAGGUGAGAGGGGUCUCCUGCCUCCAGUGGCAAGUCACCUCUACCCUGCAAUGUCCAGUAUAUGAACUCCGCUGAUAACCAGGUGGAAGGGAUCUGCCACCCAGAGUGUCGAGUCCCCACUCCCUGUCUCUGGCUGUAUAGGAGCUCCCCCAACAUCCAAGAUGUGGGGUCUCCCAAAUACAGGGGCGAGUCUCCUCUACACUGGAUGUGGGGAUAUAGGAGAUCCCCCAAACACCAAGAUGGGAACAGUCUCCCACCUGGAGCAAUGAGUCUCUGGCUGUGGCUGUAUACAAGC